UAUAGGGGGUGGGGUAAAAUCAAAAGACGAAUACUUUAUGACACAUGGAGAAGAUAGGACAUUUAAGUUUCAGUGUACAAAAAUAAAGUUUUAUUGGAACACAGCCAUGUUCAUUGAUUCCAUAUCCUCCCUGGUUCUCUAUGGCUACAACUGCAAAACUAAGGAGUUGCCCUGAAGAUUUACUGUCUAGCUCUUUACGGAGUAAGUUUGCUGAUGCCUGUCUAUAUUAUUAAACGUUUUACUCUACAAGGUCUAUGGUCCUUUCUGUUGGAGCAUUUCCAAUUAAAUUUUAAACAGCUGGUUUUUACACAAAGUCUAUCAAUCCUUUCCCUGUUCAUUUCCAGCCACCAGGAAACAUUACAAGACACAGUACUUCCUUGAUGCUUUUCUAUGUGGCUUCUAUUCACGCCUCAUAUUCUAAAUAAAAGGGACAAGCUCGAAGAAUAGCUGCUGGAUCAAGACAGGUGUUGGUAAUCUGUCACUGCACAUUUUCUGUUGUUGUCAACAGAAUUUCAGGAGAAUCAGUGUUCUUUAUGAACUUGUCUAAGAGUCUCCUACAUACAGUUAACUGGAGUAAUAGCAAUGAUGUCAUAGAAAUAUCACCAGUAUUUGAGGGCCAGUCAACGGUGCAGCAGUAAUGCAACGUUCUGCAAGUUCAUAUCUGAAGAUCUCCCUGAACAUGCCAGAAGCUGCUAGAACUCUGGGAGUCAAGUGGUCCAGCUCGAUCAGCCCAGGAAUACAGAUCAUUCAAGGAGAAGCCAACUACCACGUCUUCAGGAGACUGGCAGCCCUGUAGAGGUAUCCAUGUGAAAAAGAACUGAGUCUCAGCCCUGUAGCCUUAUGAGAAAAUAAGAUCUGCCAACAAACCAUGUGAGUGAGCCUGGAAGCAAAUCCUUCAGCCAAACUGAGCCCUGAGAAAACUGCAGACCCACCAAGAGUUUGCAA
This is a long non-coding RNA of Tupaia belangeri chinensis (Chinese tree shrew), 945 nucleotides long. RefSeq lists it as uncharacterized. The transcript has 3 exons. NCBI's taxonomy places the organism in Eukaryota, Metazoa, Chordata, Mammalia, Scandentia, Tupaiidae. The record is from RefSeq and is a predicted model, not a curated record.